This 78-nucleotide transfer RNA is filed under the name Vibrio vulnificus. Its description in RNAcentral is "tRNA-Leu". It matches the Rfam family "tRNA", at positions 10 to 71 of the family's 71-position model. From Rfam's summary of the family: Transfer RNA (tRNA) molecules are approximately 80 nucleotides in length. Their secondary structure includes four short double-helical elements and three loops (D, anti-codon, and T loops). Further hydrogen bonds mediate the characteristic L-shaped molecular structure. tRNAs have two regions of fundamental functional importance: the anti-codon, which is responsible for specific mRNA codon recognition, and the 3' end, to which the tRNAs corresponding amino acid is attached (by aminoacyl-tRNA synthetases). tRNAs cope with the degeneracy of the genetic code in two manners: having more than one tRNA (with a specific anti-codon) for a particular amino acid; and 'wobble' base-pairing, i.e. permitting non-standard base-pairing at the 3rd anti-codon position. Lineage: Bacteria; Pseudomonadati; Pseudomonadota; Gammaproteobacteria; Vibrionales; Vibrionaceae. The record is from RNAcentral.
GUGAAAUUGGUAGACACAAGGGAUUUAAAAUCCCUCGACUUUCGAGUCGUGCCGGUUCAAGUCCGGCCCGGGGCACCA